UACGUAGGUGGCAAGCGUUGUCCGGAGUUAUUGGGCGUAAAGCGCGCGCAGGCGGUGCGGUAAGUCUCUGGUGAAAGCGCUCGGCUUAACUGGGCGAGGGCCGGGGAGACUGCCACGCUGGAGGGGAGCAGAGGCGAGUGGAAUUCCGGGUGUAGAGGUGAAAUUCGUAGAUAUUCGGAAGAACACCAGUGGCGAAGGCGACUCGCUGGACAAGUAUUGACGCUGAGGUGCGAAAGCGUGGGGAGCAAACAGG
RNAcentral lists this ribosomal RNA (253 nucleotides) under uncultured bacterium. Its description in RNAcentral is "partial 16S ribosomal RNA". It matches the Rfam family "Bacterial small subunit ribosomal RNA", at positions 524 to 776 of the family's 1533-position model. The record is from RNAcentral.